CGCGUAGGCGGCCUUCUAAGUCGAACGUGAAAUCCCUGGGCUCAACCCAGGAACUGCGUCCGAUACUGGAAGGCUUGAAUCCGGGAGAGGGAUGCGGAAUUCCAGGUGUAGCGGUGAAAUGCGUAGAUAUCUGGAGGAACACCGGUGGCGAAGGCGGCAUCCUGGACCGGUAUUGACGCUGAGGCGCGAAAGCCAGGGGAAGCAAACG
This 208-nucleotide ribosomal RNA is filed under the name uncultured bacterium. RNAcentral describes it as "partial 16S ribosomal RNA". It matches the Rfam family "Bacterial small subunit ribosomal RNA", at positions 568 to 774 of the family's 1533-position model. The record is from RNAcentral.